AGAGUUUGAUCCUGGCUCAGAUUGAACGCUGGCGGCAUGCUUUACACAUGCAAGUCGAGCGGCAGCGCGGGGCAACCUGGCGGCGAGCGGCGAACGGGUGAGUAAUAGAUAGGAACGUGUCCGAGAGUGGGGGAUAACUAGCCGAAAGGUUAGCUAAUACCGCAUAUUCUCUGCGGAGGAAAGCGGGGGACCAGUAAUGGCCUCGCGCUCACGGAGUGGCCUAUCUCCGAUUAGCUAGUUGGUGAGGUAAAGGCUUACCAAGGCGACGAUCGGUAGCUGGUCUGAGAGGAUGAUCAGCCACACUGGGACUGAGACACGGCCCAGACUCCUACGGGAGGCAGCAGUGGGGAAUUUUGGACAAUGGGGGCAACCCUGAUCCAGCCAUGCCGCGUGCGGGAAGAAGGCCUUCGGGUUGUAAACCGCUUUUAUUCGGAAAGAAGGAGUUCGGGUUAAUACCCUGGAUGACAGACGGUACCGGAUGAAUAAGCACCGGCUAACUACGUGCCAGCCGCCGCGGUAAUUC
RNAcentral lists this ribosomal RNA (523 nucleotides) under uncultured bacterium. Its description in RNAcentral is "bacterial SSU rRNA". It matches the Rfam family "Bacterial small subunit ribosomal RNA", at positions 8 to 526 of the family's 1533-position model. The record is from RNAcentral.